RNAcentral lists this transfer RNA (84 nucleotides) under Candidatus Jordarchaeales archaeon. RNAcentral's name for it is "tRNA-Leu". It matches the Rfam family "tRNA". From Rfam's summary of the family: Transfer RNA (tRNA) molecules are approximately 80 nucleotides in length. Their secondary structure includes four short double-helical elements and three loops (D, anti-codon, and T loops). Further hydrogen bonds mediate the characteristic L-shaped molecular structure. tRNAs have two regions of fundamental functional importance: the anti-codon, which is responsible for specific mRNA codon recognition, and the 3' end, to which the tRNAs corresponding amino acid is attached (by aminoacyl-tRNA synthetases). tRNAs cope with the degeneracy of the genetic code in two manners: having more than one tRNA (with a specific anti-codon) for a particular amino acid; and 'wobble' base-pairing, i.e. permitting non-standard base-pairing at the 3rd anti-codon position. The record is from RNAcentral. Lineage: Archaea; Promethearchaeati; Candidatus Jordarchaeia; Candidatus Jordarchaeales. RNAcentral also lists the same sequence under 1 other name.
GCGGGGGUAGCCAAGUAGGUCAACGGCGCCGGACUCAAGAUCCGGUCCCGCAGGGGUUCGGGGGUUCGAAUCCCUCCCCCCGCA